UAGGGAAUCUUCCACAAUGGGCGAAAGCCUGAUGGAGCAACGCCGCGUGUGUGAUGAAGGCUUUCGGGUCGUAAAGCACUGUUGUAUGGGAAGAACAGCUAGAAUAGGAAAUGAUUUUAGUUUGACGGUACCAUACCAGAAAGGGACGGCUAAAUACGUACCAG
RNAcentral lists this ribosomal RNA (164 nucleotides) under uncultured bacterium. RNAcentral describes it as "partial 16S ribosomal RNA". It matches the Rfam family "Bacterial small subunit ribosomal RNA", at positions 355 to 511 of the family's 1533-position model. The record is from RNAcentral.